Molecule: long non-coding RNA, 861 nt
Filed under: Homo sapiens (human)
Lineage: Eukaryota; Metazoa; Chordata; Mammalia; Primates; Hominidae
Description: novel transcript
Source: RNAcentral
UUCAGAAGGAAUGGUACCAGCUCCUCUUUGUACCUCUGGUGCAAUUCUUGCAGCCCUAUUUUACAGCUCACAGAAAUUAAUUAAUUGAACAGUGCUUCUGAUCUGGAAAGUGAUGGACUCAGGCUUAUAGCAUAGGCAGCCUGACUCCACAGCUCAACUAUUAAACACUACUCUCAUCACCCCACAGGGCCUGAAUUUUCUGCUCCUGAAUUCAAACAUUAAAAUGUGUGGUAUAUCAGUACUGGGAUUUAUGAGGACAAUGUGGUUAAUUUAAAUGCCUUUUGGAGCAAAUAGGACGUAUCUUAUUCCAAUUUUUUGAAGAUAGAGAAAGUGCGUGGUCCUGAACACAACAGAGGUGGUUACAAGAAGAAAUAAAAUGUUGGCUGGCAGAAGCAGCAGGGAAGAUUUCAUAUUGAAGACUAACUAGUUCUGAGACGUUUUGGAUGUCUUCUUGCAAACAAAAUAGAAUGCAACUGAAGAAAUGGCUGGUGCAAUUCAGCAAGCUUUCUGUUUUUCUCAUGCAUGAGAAAAAUGCAUUUCAGCUGAAAACAGUAUUAUGAAGGAGAAGUACUUCAAAAUAAAACACUUUACUCAACCCAAAAGACUCACUAUAAGUUCUCAAACAGUAGCUGCCACUUCUAGCUGGGAGAGAAAUGAGAGCUCUGCUCAUGGUGAUCCAGUAUCUCCAGAAUCCAUCACCACUGCUGACCUCCCACUCCAUGUCUCCAAGUGCUCUGCUAUACCUGCCACCAGCAGCUGCCACCUCCAGACUUUGGAAGGUUAUAAUAAAACCUCUGUUCUACGAUCUGCCUUCUGCUUCAACAUCCUCACUCCCCACAAACAAUUCUAAUAAACAGCAAU